This 560-nucleotide ribosomal RNA is filed under the name Bacillus sp. 135(2013). Its description in RNAcentral is "bacterial SSU rRNA". It matches the Rfam family "Bacterial small subunit ribosomal RNA", at positions 79 to 624 of the family's 1533-position model. The record is from RNAcentral. Lineage: Bacteria; Bacillati; Bacillota; Bacilli; Caryophanales; Bacillaceae.
CUUGCUCCCUGAGAUUAGCGGCGGACGGGUGAGUAACACGUGGGCAACCUGCCUAUAAGACUGGGAUAACUUCGGGAAACCGGAGCUAAUACCGGAUACGUUCUUUUCUCGCAUGAGAGAAGAUGGAAAGACGGUUUACGCUGUCACUUAUAGAUGGGCCCGCGGCGCAUUAGCUAGUUGGUGAGGUAAUGGCUCACCAAGGCGACGAUGCGUAGCCGACCUGAGAGGGUGAUCGGCCACACUGGGACUGAGACACGGCCCAGACUCCUACGGGAGGCAGCAGUAGGGAAUCUUCCGCAAUGGACGAAAGUCUGACGGAGCAACGCCGCGUGAACGAAGAAGGCCUUCGGGUCGUAAAGUUCUGUUGUUAGGGAAGAACAAGUACCAGAGUAACUGCUGGUACCUUGACGGUACCUAACCAGAAAGCCACGGCUAACUACGUGCCAGCAGCCGCGGUAAUACGUAGGUGGCAAGCGUUGUCCGGAAUUAUUGGGCGUAAAGCGCGCGCAGGUGGUUCCUUAAGUCUGAUGUGAAAGCCCACGGCUCAACCGUGGAGGGUC